This 261-nucleotide ribosomal RNA is filed under the name uncultured bacterium. Its description in RNAcentral is "partial 16S ribosomal RNA". It matches the Rfam family "Bacterial small subunit ribosomal RNA", at positions 333 to 591 of the family's 1533-position model. The record is from RNAcentral.
GCCGCCCUACGGGGCGCAGCAGUGGGGAAUAUUGGUCAAUGGUCGGGAGACUGAACCAGCCAAGCCGCGUGAGGGAUGAAGGUACAGAGUAUCGUAAACCUCUUUUGUCAGGGAACAAAGGCGGGGACGUGUCCCCGGAUGAGUGUACCUGAAGAAAAAGCAUCGGCUAACUCCGUGCCAGCAGCCGCGGUAAUACGGAGGAUGCGAGCGUUAUCCGGAUUUAUUGGGUUUAAAGGGUGCGUAGGCGGGGCGACAAGUCGG